AUACGGAGGGGGUUAGCGUUGUUCGGAAUUACUGGGCGUAAAGCGCACGUAGGCGGACUGGAAAGUUGGGGGUGAAAUCCCGGGGCUCAACCCCGGAACUGCCUCCAAAACUGUCAAUCUAGAGAUCGAGAGAGGUGAGUGGAAUUCCAAGUGUAGAGGUGAAAUUCGUAGAUAUUUGGAGGAACACCAGUGGCGAAGGCGGCUCACUGGCUCGAUACUGACGCUGAGGUGCGAAAGCGUGGGGAGCAAACAGGAUUAGAUACCCCAGUAGUCC
RNAcentral lists this ribosomal RNA (274 nucleotides) under uncultured bacterium. RNAcentral describes it as "partial 16S ribosomal RNA". It matches the Rfam family "Bacterial small subunit ribosomal RNA", at positions 523 to 796 of the family's 1533-position model. The record is from RNAcentral.